Molecule: ribosomal RNA, 1311 nt
Filed under: Tinda javana
Lineage: Eukaryota; Metazoa; Arthropoda; Insecta; Diptera; Stratiomyidae
Description: 16S ribosomal RNA
Rfam family: Archaeal large subunit ribosomal RNA (bases 1064-1224)
Source: RNAcentral
UUAUAGAUUAUUUAUUAAUAUUUUUAUUAUAAAUUUAAAUUGUUAGAAAUAACUUAAAAAUUAAGUGUUUUAGUAUUUUAUAAAGAAAUAAUAAUUUUAAUAAUAGUAAAAUUGUAUUGUGAAAGAUUAUUGAAAUAUUUUGAAAAAUAAAUAUUUAUAAAGAAAACUUAAUUUGUUGUACCUUGUGUAUCAGGGUUUAUAAAAUAAAAAUUAAUUAUUUAAUUUUCUCGAUUUUAAAAGAGUUAGUGAAUUAUAAAAUUUAAUGUGAAAAAAUUAUUUUUAAUAAUUUACUGGAAAUGAAAAGUUAUUCGUUUUUAAAGGUAUCUAGUUUUUUAAGAAAUGAAUUUAAUUCAUUAAUAUAAGUAAUGUAUUAAUUUUUAAUAUAUUAUAAAUUAUUAAAAGUAAUUUAUGGGAUAAGCUGUGAAUUAAAUAUUUAAAAUUAAUUUUUUAAUUUAAAAAAUAUAAGCUUAGAAUUAGCUAUUAUUUGUAAUUAUGUCAUAAUUUAUUUUAAUUAAAAAUUAUUUAAUAUUGAUUUAAUUAUUUAUUAAAAUGUAUACUUUAAUUAUAAAAGUUUAGAAAUAAUGAUAAAAUUAGUAUAAGAUUUUGUGUUAAUAUAGUUAAAUUAUAGAUUUAAUUAAAGAAUUCGGCAAAUUAAUUACUAUUCGCCUGUUUAACAAAAACAUGUCUUUUUGAAUUUAAUUUAAAGUCUAACCUGCCCACUGAAAAUUUAAAUGGCCGCAGUAUAUUAACUGUGCAAAGGUAGCAUAAUCAUUAGUCUUUUAAUUGAAGGCUUGUAUGAAUGGUUGAACGAGAUAUUAACUGUUUCAUUUAAAUAUUUAAAAUUUUAUUUUUUAGUAAAAAAGCUAAAAUUUAAUUAAAAGACGAGAAGACCCUAUAGAUCUUUAUAAUCUAUAUAUUAAAUUUAUAAAGAAAAAUUUGGAUUUAAUAUAGAAAAUUAUUUUAUUGGGGUGAUAACAAAAUUUAAAAAACUUUUGUAUUUUUUAACAAAAAUUAUUGGUUAAUUGAUCCAUUUUUAAUGAUUAAUAAAUUAAGUUACCUUAGGGAUAACAGCGUAAUUUUUUUAGAGAGUUCAUAUCGAUAAGAAAUAUUGCGACCUCGAUGUUGGAUUAAGAGAUAUUAUUGGGUGCAGAAGUUCAAUUAAAUAAGUCUGUUCGACUUUUAAAUUCUUACAUGAUCUGAGUUCAAACCGGCGUGAGCCAGGUUGGUUUCUAUCUUUAGUUUAUUAAAAUAUUCUAGUACGAAAGGAUUGAAUAUUUGAAAUAGUUUUUAUUUAUUGAAAUUAACUAAUAU